RNAcentral lists this non-coding RNA (27 nucleotides) under Mus musculus (house mouse). The record is from RNAcentral. Lineage: Eukaryota; Metazoa; Chordata; Mammalia; Rodentia; Muridae.
UGGAACCUAGGCAUGCCUGCACUGCAU